UUUGCCCUACGGGGCGCAGCAGUAGGGAAUUUUCGUCAAUGGGCGCAAGUCUGAACCAGCCAUGCCGCGUGCAGGAAGACGGCUCUAUGAGUUGUAAACUGCUUUUGUACGAGGGUAAACGCAGAUACGUGUAUCUGUCUGAAAGUAUCGUACGAAUAAGGAUCGGCUAACUCCGUGCCAGCAGCCGCGGUAAUACGGAGGAUUCAAGCGUUAUCCGGAUUUAUUGGGUUUAAAGGGUGCGUAGGCGGUCGGAUAAGUUAGAGGUGAAAUCCCGAGGCUCAACUUCGGAAUUGCCUCUGAUACUG
RNAcentral lists this ribosomal RNA (305 nucleotides) under uncultured bacterium. RNAcentral's name for it is "bacterial SSU rRNA". It matches the Rfam family "Bacterial small subunit ribosomal RNA", at positions 333 to 635 of the family's 1533-position model. The record is from RNAcentral.